CAACCAUCUACUCAGAUCGAGAUCUUCCACACACCACCGCCGCCGCAGCAAACCGGAGAGCGAGACCGACUGAGCGCACCGCGCCACCGCCGCGAUGAGGGCCAAGUGGAAGAAGAAGAGAAUGAGGAGGCUCAAGAGGAAGCGCCGAAAGAUGAGGCAGCGAUCCAAGUAGGCUGCUUCGAGAAGGGGAAGCAUCUUCUAACAUCUGGCAGCUGGACGUUGAGGGAUGAUGGCAUCGUGGUCUAAUGAUUCCUGAUCUGUUCUGUAGUUUAUGGUUGUGGAAUAUGUUUACCUGUGUUUGUUUCAAAUAUAAGACUAAGUUAUUGUAAUGAGGAUUCUAUAUGUUUCUGUUUCUUGAUCGUAUGCACUUGGAGCUUGUUCUGUUUA
This is a long non-coding RNA of Lolium rigidum, 387 nucleotides long. RefSeq lists it as uncharacterized. NCBI's taxonomy places the organism in Eukaryota, Viridiplantae, Streptophyta, Magnoliopsida, Poales, Poaceae. The record is from RefSeq and is a predicted model, not a curated record. The transcript is spliced from 2 exons.